UCCAGGGUAGCCUAGUGGACAUGACAUCUGCCCGGUAAGCUGAACACUGUGGGUUCGAUUCCCAUCCCUGGUAA
RNAcentral lists this transfer RNA (74 nucleotides) under Cordylochernes scorpioides. Its description in RNAcentral is "tRNA-Thr". It matches the Rfam family "tRNA". From Rfam's summary of the family: Transfer RNA (tRNA) molecules are approximately 80 nucleotides in length. Their secondary structure includes four short double-helical elements and three loops (D, anti-codon, and T loops). Further hydrogen bonds mediate the characteristic L-shaped molecular structure. tRNAs have two regions of fundamental functional importance: the anti-codon, which is responsible for specific mRNA codon recognition, and the 3' end, to which the tRNAs corresponding amino acid is attached (by aminoacyl-tRNA synthetases). tRNAs cope with the degeneracy of the genetic code in two manners: having more than one tRNA (with a specific anti-codon) for a particular amino acid; and 'wobble' base-pairing, i.e. permitting non-standard base-pairing at the 3rd anti-codon position. Lineage: Eukaryota; Metazoa; Arthropoda; Arachnida; Pseudoscorpiones; Chernetidae. The record is from RNAcentral.